CCAUACAAACUCACGCGCCUUUGGUGGGGGGAACACGGCCCAUGCCAAGUCGCACGCCUUCGGUGGGAGUGAGGGGGACAUUUUCUUUCGCGUAAAAAAUGCUAUAAGAAUACACUAUACGCUGACGUGAAUUCUUCACUGUGUGAUGUCCCCCCCCCCCCCACCCCGAUACGUGCAGUACUACCAUACAGUCGCUAGAUGCUACCACUAUAGGCCGUAGAUAUUACUGCAGAGCGGCCGGGGAGAUCGUGGCUGGUGGGGGGGGUCAGGGGUAGCAGCUAGGCCUCGGCAAGGCAAGGUAAUUUACCCUUUUUACCGGGUAAAAGGGUAAAGGUGUCGACAUGCCAAGGGGUAAGGUAAAGGGUAACAGGGUAAAGGUAGCACGGAAGGAUUACCCAGUAGGGUAAAAGUAGUGCGAAGUAUUACCCGGUAAACACGGUGCCUUGUUUACCGCUAGAAGCUCUGUAGCGCAGUCCGUGGCCUCCAUUUAAAAUUGGAAUCAUCGAGAGUAUUCUAUAUUAAUAAAACGCUCUACCUAGCAUUUGCCUGUUAUAAACCUUUUUCAUGUGUAGUAGUACCCCAGUAAUUACCCUGUAAUCAGGUAAUUUGUAUGGGGUAAGGGUAAAAGGUAAGGUAAAGGUAGGCUCGUUGUUUCAACCUUUUACCUUACCUUGCCGAGGCCUAGUAGCAGCCCAACCCCAGCCUGCCAAGGUGCCACCUCGGCCGGCUGGACAAUCUAGGCGAGGCCGGAGGCUCUGCACGGGACUCGGCCUCACCACGCCACUCUGUCAGCCGGCAACGCGCGUCCGCACGCGUUCACGACAAACGGAGACCAACGCACACUUCCAGCCGCCUCGGCACUCGACAGCUUCAAGAUUCCGCAGCUGCCGCGCAGUCGACACGCAGCCUCCAAGCUCGGCCCUGGCAGUCUCCCAUCAUCUGCCCCGCAGCUCUUCCCCUUGGUCGCCCAUCACAGCUGAAGUUGACCAAAUAAAGUACAAAACUUGA
Lethenteron reissneri (Far Eastern brook lamprey) is the source of this 1008-nucleotide long non-coding RNA. RefSeq lists it as uncharacterized. The record is from RefSeq and is a predicted model, not a curated record. NCBI's taxonomy places the organism in Eukaryota, Metazoa, Chordata, Hyperoartia, Petromyzontiformes, Petromyzontidae.